CGCGUAGGCGACUCGGUAAGUCUGGAGUGAAAGUCCUGCUUUUAAGGUGGGAAUUGCUUUGGAUACUGUCGGGCUUGAGUGCAGGAGAGGUUAGUGGAAUUCCCAGUGUAGCGGUGAAAUGCGUAGAGAUUGGGAGGAACACCAGUGGCGAAGGCGACUAACUGGACUGUAACAGACGCUGAGGCGCGAAAGUGUGGGAGCAAACA
This 206-nucleotide ribosomal RNA is filed under the name uncultured bacterium. RNAcentral describes it as "partial 16S ribosomal RNA". It matches the Rfam family "Bacterial small subunit ribosomal RNA", at positions 568 to 774 of the family's 1533-position model. The record is from RNAcentral.